UCACAAUUCUAGCCUGGCAA
This 20-nucleotide microRNA is filed under the name Drosophila pseudoobscura pseudoobscura. RNAcentral's name for it is "mir-2567a-RB". The record is from RNAcentral. Lineage: Eukaryota; Metazoa; Arthropoda; Insecta; Diptera; Drosophilidae.